UUAACAAAGGAGUAGGUCCGGUAAGGACUCAUUUUGGCCUCAAAUUUCAGUUUCAUCUGAAGAAAGAUUUUGACCACUUUUUAAACACUUAAGUGUCUAUUUCACUUGAUUCAAUUAGUUUAUGUGAAAGAUUUUAACUGAUUAAGUCAUUAAAAACGAUCCGAUUGAAGCUCAAAUAUGAAAAAUCUCUCAAAUAUGCCAAAAAAACGUC
RNAcentral lists this long non-coding RNA (211 nucleotides) under Mytilus galloprovincialis (Mediterranean mussel). The record is from RNAcentral. Lineage: Eukaryota; Metazoa; Mollusca; Bivalvia; Mytilida; Mytilidae.